Ovis aries (sheep) is the source of this 1351-nucleotide long non-coding RNA. NCBI's taxonomy places the organism in Eukaryota, Metazoa, Chordata, Mammalia, Artiodactyla, Bovidae. The record is from Ensembl.
ACUUCUGCCCUACCCCUUGAGACAGACUCUGAGAGGUGAAGGCAGAUUUCCUGGGCAGGGGCUUUUCUGGGGCUGGGGUUCAUCCAGGGAGAAAUGCCCUGCUCUGGAGAGAGUAUUUCGAUCCGUGGAUGUAAGACUGCUUUGGAGGACGACGAGAAGAGCACAUGUCAGCAGCAAAUCCAGCUGCCACAAGCAUGUGACGGGCACCUUUCCCAGCCUCACUUCUUCACCUCUCUGAGCUGGCUUUUUUCUCUGCAGAGUGGGGAUCGCCGCCUCUCAGGAGCUGAACUGAAGAAGGUGUUCCCUGGAGAACAGGUACAGUAGGCCUACUUUCCAUUUUUUUUCUUUGAAGUAAAAAAUGCCAAAUAGGACUCUUGCCACCUUGGUGUGGUCUGGUCCUUUAUGAUGACCUUGGGGUCCCAGGAGGACUCGCCACAGUUACUUUUGGUUCUGCAGUCUUGGGACCAUGGUCUCCUCCAUGACUCUCAGUGAACCUGUCCCAGCCAGUGGGACAAGCUCCCAGUUCUGUAGAAAGACCUGGCUUCUUUCUGCUAGAACUUCUUUCUAUGCAGACCAUCCGCAGCCCUUAAGGCUGCAGUCUGGAAGGUCUGGGACUGCCGUGGGUGGGUGGUCUGCCUUCAGGGAGUACUUGCUAGGGCCUGAGCUGCACAGUAAUCGGAGGCUUCCAGCAGCUGUGUGGUCAGUACUGUGUAUUCCUGGCCAGGUUACCUCAAAAGAAAUACUUCUUCUUGAAGCCCUGACAUUUCCCUCUUCCUACUGGCCAACAGGCCCACUGACUCACCUCCAUAGACUUCGGUACACUACUCACUGUAGAGCGAUGCAUUUCAUCCCACUCAGGGUUGCCUUCCCUGUAUUUUCCACACAACUGAGCAUCACAGACACUAAGGUUCCCCUAGUGUCUGAGGAGCUGAGGAUGCUUAAGACUGUGACACUCUUCUACUUGAUCCAUUUCCUUCCUCAAAACCUUAUCCCUGCCCUAAAUCACAGAUGGCUUCUAGCCAUUCAAGACCUUGAUGACAGGGCGAGAGAGGAAAUAAAGAAAGAAAAAGGACACGUUGGAGAAAUAUAUUCCCUAUACAUAAAAUAGAUAGAUAACUCAUUUCCACAGAAACUCUUACAAAUAAAUAGGAAAUAAGACUUCCUUGGUGGCUCAGAUGGUUAAGCGUCUGCCUACAAUGCGGGAGACCUGGGUUCAAUCCCUGGGUUGGGAAGCUCUCCUGGAGAAGGAAAUGGCAACCCACUCCAGUAUUCUUGCCCGGAAAAUCAAAUGGAUGGAGGAGCCUGGUAGGCUACAGUCCAUGGGGUCACAAAGAGUUGGACAAGACUGAGC